UUUCCACAUUACCAAAUCGAUUCCACUCAGUUUUUCCCCAAACCAGUGUUUGUUUUUGUGACUCUGGUUGAUCUGAAUCCAGCAGAGCCUAUCAUCCGUCUCCUCCCUGCGAGGCCGUCGUGACGCUCCCCCGCGCUCUCCAGUCGCAGCGCGCUGGCGCCCGCGCAUCCCGUCCUCUUCCGCCGUCGACUCCUCCUCAGCUCCUCUACUCGGCUGAACCGGUACUUGCUCCUUCUCCUUGUUGCUUUUGUGCUCUGCUCGUACUGCUUGCAUGCUUCAUUGCUUCUAUAGUUCGGCGCGCAAGAGAUUUGCGGACUUGGUGUGGGAGGCUAAGCUGUCGAAGAACUGCGCCGGUACCUGAUGGAGAACACGAGUGAGCCCCCAAAUCCCCCUCGCGUCCUAGACACUAGGCCGGUGUGGAGUGGAGAUCCAUCCGGGCCUGGGUCGAUUUCUGCUUUCGCUGGAUCUGCAACACCAGAGUACAAUUGAAAAAUUCAUGGCGUUCAACAUCAAACUAUGAUAUUAACUUGGUUAUCUGGUCUGCUGGCUUAUUCUGUGGCUAUGUGACAUUUGUUCCCCUUCUACUAUAUGUUAUUCUUAAGUACUUCUCAGCAUCGGCUAUUUACAGGAGCACAUAUUGGAUCAAUUUUGGUCGUUGCUUCAGGAGGAGGAGGAGAACCGUACCACAAUGCAAUCGGGAUGUCAUCAAUUGGAGACUACAACGAUGGACAUCUUCGCAAAUUUUGCUGGAGGUUUAGCAAUAUAUUAAUAAGUGUUUAAAAUAAACAUGUGCUUUUUGUUAAACUUCAUUCCUUUUGUUUGGAUGGAUGGAUCAUAUGAUAGACAGAGUCUACAUCAUGAUCAGUUUGGUUGUAAUAAUUGGCCGAAUACAUGUCAUUGUGCAGAGG
Molecule: long non-coding RNA, 908 nt
Organism: Phragmites australis (common reed)
Lineage: Eukaryota; Viridiplantae; Streptophyta; Magnoliopsida; Poales; Poaceae
Exons: 3
Source: RefSeq, a predicted model, not a curated record